AUGGUCAUUUGGCAUGACAUUCUAUUUGCUGUAGAUUCGGUAAGCAGGAAGUUGCAAUCACCGUCCAUGUGCAUUGAGACUGCCUUAAAGAAAAUAGAUGGUAUGAGGACUUAUUUUGACACUUAUAGAGAUGAAGGGUUUGAUUCUAGUGUGAUCAUUGCCAAAGAAAUUGCAACUGAAAUGGGUGUAGAACCAUCAUUUCCAGUAAAGCGCCGUGUUUCUAGGAAGAAACAAUUUGAUGAAGAUGACAGUGAUGAAGCGAUAUUGGAAGCUGAGAAGGAUUUUAAAGUCAAUUAUUUCUUGAUUAUGGUUGAUAAGGCGGCCACCUCACUGAAAAUUAGGUUUGACGAACUUGAGUCAUUCAAAAAUAUAUUUGGAUUUUUAAUGAGUUCAACGGCCUUGAAGUCAUUGGACCGCUCUGAACUUAAAGAUAGUUGCACAAAAUUUGCAAGUGCUUUCUCUUCGGGUGGUUCAUCUGAUGUUGAUUUAAAUGAUCUGAUUUCUGAGUUAAUUGUUAUGCAGUCAACUUUGCCCGAUAGAACAAUGUCUGCUAUGGAGAUUUUUGAGUUUGUGAGGGAAGCAGAUUGUUAUCCAAAUAUUGCUAUUGCAUACCGGAUUUUCUUUACUAUGCCUGUUACUGUGGCAUCAGCUGAAAGAAGUUUUUCGAAGUUGAAAUUGUUGAAGAACUACUUGAGAUCUACAAUGUCACAAGAGAGGUUAAAUGGCUUGGCAACUUUAUGCAUCGAGAAAAAAUUGCUUGAUGAAAUUGAUAUUGAUACUAUCGUUAGUGAUUUUGCAUCUCAGAAUGUUAGUAGAAAAUUUUGA
This 825-nucleotide ribosomal RNA is filed under the name Triticum aestivum (bread wheat). RNAcentral describes it as "partial small subunit ribosomal RNA". Lineage: Eukaryota; Viridiplantae; Streptophyta; Magnoliopsida; Poales; Poaceae. The record is from RNAcentral.